Long non-coding RNA from Melanotaenia boesemani (Boeseman's rainbowfish), 906 nucleotides. RefSeq lists it as uncharacterized. The transcript is spliced from 3 exons. NCBI's taxonomy places the organism in Eukaryota, Metazoa, Chordata, Actinopteri, Atheriniformes, Melanotaeniidae. The record is from RefSeq and is a predicted model, not a curated record.
UGGACAGAAAGCAGGAACGACUGUCAGGAAAGAGGAGCUGAUCUGGUGAUCAUAAACAGCAAAGAGGAACAGGAAUUUGUCAGUAAAUUGAGUUCAUUGUUCUGGAUCGGUCUUGAAAGGACAGGACAUGGAUGGAAAUGGGUGGACGGAUCUCCACUGACAGAAACGUUCUGGAAAGAUGGAGACCAGAACAGAUACAACAUAGUGUUCAACAAUUAUCAAGGGAAAUGGAAAACAGCACACUCCAGUGGUACCGCUAACUGGAUCUGUGAGAAAAAUUCUUCGGUCUCUCAGUGACAUAAUUGUCUUUGCAGUGAUUAAAUUGACAAAUUUGACACCAAAAAAAUAUUAAGAAAAGUUUUCUUUGUUGUAAAUUUCAGAUGUUGUGUGUCACUCAUAAUCUACAUAUAUCGUCCCUCUGUAGUCUAAUAUAUAGACAGAGUAGUGAAGGUGGAAGUCAUCCAUACAACAACAACAACAUAUAAACUUUGUUCCACUCAUUUAUUGUAAAACAAGGAAAACUGCAGCCUCUCUUUACUUUGUUUACUUGCUUGAUUUAUGAUGUUUUUCUUGCUAAAUCUACAGUCAGUAUCAUCUUUAAUUUAUCUGGCACACAUAAAGGGAGCAGCUGAAGAUUUUAACAAGAAGAAAAAUCCUCAAUCUUAGUUGUUUUAAUCUGGAUUGUGUGAAUAACUGCAGACUGAUCAAUGGAGGAGAACUUUCCUCUUUCUGAUAAAUGUAAACAGAAAUGUGUUACGUUUCUUUUGCAAACAGCAGGAUGUACUGGAGAAUGACGUUAGUGGAUGCUUCUAUGGGCCACAACUAAUGUCUACUUUUUACAUGUAGUACAAUUGUAAGGAUUGUGUUUUUAUACUGAGAUGGAAAAAGUAAAGAUACUGAGCUCUG